Molecule: long non-coding RNA, 406 nt
Organism: Sorghum bicolor (sorghum)
Lineage: Eukaryota; Viridiplantae; Streptophyta; Magnoliopsida; Poales; Poaceae
Exons: 2
Source: RefSeq, a predicted model, not a curated record
ACCAAGAGGGCCUGUUUCGUAAGGCACGUGAUUAGGGAAAUUGCUGGAUUAGCACCAUAUGAGAAGCGCAUCACUGCGCUUCUGAGGGUUUGUAAGGACAAGCGUGCUCUUAAGGUGGCGAAAAGAAAGCUUGGGACACACAAGAGAGCCAAGAAGAAGCAUGAAGAGAUGCUCAAUCUUCAUAGGAGGAAGAGAUACGAGACGUUAAUAAGCGGCACGGAUUGGUGGUGAAAAAUGUUGUGGUUGUGCUGAGAAUUUUUAGAGUUCCCAGUUAUGAUGAGAAGUAGGAUUUAUUUUGGAGUUCCCAGUUAUAUAAUAGUAAGAUAUCUUACUUGAUAUAUAUCAAGUGAAGGAAUUGGCGCUUAGCAGAAACUAUAUACUAUAUAUAUAAUCAACAGUCGUGCUA